AAUUCUCAACUUCACCGAUUUACUUUGAGUGAAGCUUGGACUUUGGAGUGUGCUGGUCCCCUUGAUCGGCUCCUCUUUAAAUGCAGCAGCGGAGUCUUCUUUGACUUUUGCGGCGUCGGUGUGAUAAUCAUGUUGCGCCGUCGGCCCUGGGUCUCAGUCCGCUUACAAUCGUCUUCGGACAGCUUAUGAAAC
RNAcentral lists this unclassified non-coding RNA (192 nucleotides) under uncultured Byssocorticium. Its description in RNAcentral is "sequence contains ITS2". Lineage: Eukaryota; Fungi; Basidiomycota; Agaricomycetes; Atheliales; Atheliaceae. The record is from RNAcentral.